UGGGGAAUUUUGGACAAUGGGCGAAAGCCUGAUCCAGCAAUGCCGCGUGUGUGAAGAAGGCCUUCGGGUUGUAAAGCACUUUUGUCCGGAAAGAAAUCCUUGGCUCUAAUACAGUCGGGGGAUGACGGUACCGGAAGAAUAAGCGCCGGCUAACUACGUGCCAGCAGCCGCGGUAAUACGUAGGGUGCAAGCGUUAAUCGGAAUUACUGGGCGUAAAGCGUGCGCAGGCGGUUUGCUAAGACCGAUGUGAAAUCCCGGGCUCAACCUGGGAACUGCAUUGGUGACUGGCAGGCUAGAGUAUGGCAGAGGGGGGUAGAAUUCCACGUGUAGCAGUGAAAUGCGUAGAGAUGUGGAGGAAUAUCGAUGGCGAAGGCAGCCCUCUGGGCCAAUACUGACGCUCAUGCACGAAAGCGUGGGGAGCAAACAGGAUUAGAUACCCUGGUAGUCCACGCCCUAAACGAUGUCAACUAGUUGUUGGGGAUUCAUUUCCUUAGUAACGUAGCUAACGCGUGAAGUUGACCGCCUGGGGAGUACGGUCGCAAG
This 543-nucleotide ribosomal RNA is filed under the name uncultured bacterium. Its description in RNAcentral is "partial 16S ribosomal RNA". It matches the Rfam family "Bacterial small subunit ribosomal RNA", at positions 355 to 892 of the family's 1533-position model. The record is from RNAcentral.